ACCCCGUGCGUCUCUCUUCUUUCCCUCUCCCUCUGUCUACCGCGCGCGCCCGCCGCUACCUGCCAGCCGCACGCCCGCCGCCAGCGCCCCGCCGCAACCCCGCGCGCCGGCUCGAGUACUUCGCUGUCCGCUCCCAUUCAACUCCGGCCCAGCUGCGUGCUGCUCCGGCACCGGCAGGCGGAUAAGCCCAGCAGGCAAGCAGGCAGGAGACUAGGAGAGGAGGAGAGCUCAGCACUGCACGCGCGCUCCCCUCCCCUUGCUGGCCAAAUCGAUCGGUCCCCUUCAGGCUUAAGGCUUCGGAGCUUGCUUUACUUCAGGUGAGAUUACUUCAUGAGCCUCUGCCUCUAGAAGAACCCAGCGAACCGCCCGCCCGCGAUGCGGCUGCUGCAGCACUCGUUCGUGGCCCAGCCGCCGUCGCAGCAGCCGCUGACCGCCUGCCCGCCGUCAUGAUCGAUCGAUUGACUGAAUAAUUCCUCCCCGUCGCGGUCCAACUAGGGCGGUGGCGGCUGGAUUCAUCUCUCUGCUCAACUUUGGAUGCUUGGUUGCCUGAUUGGUUGGAUGGCCGUGAGAUGUACGUUCUUCCUUCCUAGCCAUUUUGGGAAAUUCAGGCCUCCUCCACAUCAAUCAUCAGCGCAUCAUCCAUUGUCUCCAGGAAUUAUAAGUUAUCGCCUUAGCACUUCUUCUCCUUUCAAUGUUCAUGUUCUCUUACAGAUGAUAAUCAUAUAAUAUGGGGUUGUUAAGAAGAAGAAGAAACCAUCGCGUUUCGUGAUUUUGUAAUACAUACUGCCAUCUCACAGCUAGUCACUCGGUGGGCUGGAAAUGGAGGGAGUAGCUAGGUGGCUGGUGGUGACCGUGACCCCCCUCAAUCAAGCUCUCAUGGUGGUGGAGGCGAUGAUUGACAAGCAUCAGCAUGGCACGGCAGCCUUGAUGCUAGCUUCUUGGAUUCUGCAAUCCUGGACAGAAUGACGGACGGACGAAAUCUCCCUCGUCCCAUUUUUUUAAACCCAGAAAAAGGGUGGAGUGAGGAAAAGACAAACCGAACCUUGGAAACGAGAACCAAAUCAUCUCCGCAUUGGUGCGGUGGUCUGCGGAACCAAUCAUCUCCCUCGCUCUGUUCGUCUGAAUCGUCUUGAUGCAUGCUGAAGUAUAAUUCGGGAUGUAUCCUUGAAGUGUAAACAUUUAAGGAUUGUGUAAUUCUUUGGGUACCAAGACCCAUUUUUUCAAUUUUAAACAAUCUAGUUUCUGCUUAUUUUCUGAAUGACCUGAAAGCUAGCGAUAUGCCCAUAUAUAUAACUACUUUUGAUCAACCUGAACACUUUCUCAAGUCAUUGCAUACAGAGCAAAAAUCUUGAUAUUUGCACCCACUAACAAGAUUUAUUUCUGUGUCUCAGUCCUUUGCGAAUAUCAAAUGGUACUUUGCUGCAGCUCCUUGAUAGAUUUUGUUUCUUUUUUCCUUAUCGUGUAGUGGCAAAGGUUAUUUUCAGGGGGCAAAACUGAUGGUUAUAAUUUUUUUUUCCAUAGUUGGCAGGUGUAUUUUCAGGGGAUGUUGCUUGAGCCCAAAUGGAUGACAGCAGAAGUGUGAUCUGACGUGCGCUCAGCUUCACCAACACACUGAUUCUUGAAUGCAUUAAGCAUAGUGCACAAGCAGUUAUUCAUGAUAAGAAAUCUUUUGCUCAAAUGUAGCUAAUUAGCACUUCAUACAUUCUGGAUAGAAUCGAUUAUACCAUUUCGUCAUCUGACUUGUUUGAAGAACUUUGGUCUUCCUUUACAGACAUAGAAGGUGCUCUCAAAGACAUCGAAGGUCUUCCUUUACCGUUUCGUCAUCUGCAAUGUGCUUAUAGUAUGAGAGUUGCCUGCUAAUUCCUCUAAAUAUAGCAUUAGUUCAGCUUGUAGCUUCAUAUUACAUCAGGUAAUGGAUGGCAUCAGAACUAUUCUCUGUAAUGAUGGUAUAAGAGCUCACUUGCUAAUUCUUCUGAACAUUCCCUGGGUUCAGCUUGUAACUUUAGUUAGAUCAAUGGAUAUCAUCUAAACUAUUCUUUUCUUUUUUUCUUUUGAAACAGGGCAUAUCUACUUAGUACCUGCAUUUUUUUGUUGCUUGUUGAUGAUACUAAUACUGUCUGAUAUAACUAGUUGCUUUUUCUCUCUUUGGUAAGAAUCUGCAAUUAAAUUUGACAUCCAUUGGUUAUAUAUUUUUUCCUUGUUCAGUUACCACACAUGUUGCCAUCUGAAAAGGCAUUUUCAGCUGUUGUAUCUGCUCUUGGCAUCUACAACAAAGACGGGAUAGUAGUUUAUGAUGGAAAGGGGCUGUUCAGUGAUGCUCGUGUUUGGUGGUAAGCUUUUUUAUUCACAAAAAUAUGUAAAAGAAGGAGUUCAUCAAGCAGUUUGCUGAGAUUUCAUCAAUAAACCAACGAAUUUUGUUAUCCGGUCCAGCAGGUUCUGAGAUUUAUCAGGAAACAUUGGUAAAGGCACUUGCUAAACAUUUUGGUGCUAGACUUCUUGUCUUGGAUUCACUUUUGCUACCUUGGGUAAGCUCAUACUGUAUAUUUAUUUACCUGCUCAUGAACAUUCAGAAGCUAAGAAACUUUGAAUUAUUGCACGUUCUAUUACAAUUUUCCUAUACUGAACAUGAGACUUCUCAUAGGCAACCCAGUUAUGAGCUUGCUUUUGUAUUGACUAUCCUGUGAAAUCAGAUAUUCUUUCCCCAUAUCACAUUUUUUGUAGCACCAUAUUAGUCCAAUACAUAUAUUUGUUUAUAUAAAUUGCUUGAUUGAUCUCUAGGGGACCAAGUUAUGGUUAUCGAGGCAGAGUGAUGCACUAGAUCUAAGGUGUGUUUGAAUGCACUAGAUCUAAUAUGUAGUUGGCUAAAAAAUUACUAGUAGAGUUAGCUAGCUAACAAAUAGAUAUCUAACUAUUAGCUAAUUUGCUAAAAGUAGCUAAUAGUUGAAUUAUUAGUUAUGCUGUUUGGAUGUCUUUAGCUAUUUUUAACAGCUAACUAUUAGUUAUAGUGCAUUCAAACACCCCUCCCUAAAUGCAUUUCAUCUUACAUUUGCAUACUUCUCUCAGGUCAACAGACUUGACACGAAGGAGCAGUGUGUAUGUUCAUAGGAGCUGUUGUUCUGGACAUGGUUUUGGAGUCUGCAGCAGCUUUAGAACAUUCGCACACCUGAUUGCGAUGAAUUCGUAGAAAUGCUUUUAAAACUUGAUUACUGGUCUAAACUGGCUAGGCCCCGUCCGAAUGUCAUCACAUAACAACAGUAUGGUGGCCAAAUCACAAGCUUUUACACGUAUAGUAUAGUGUGUUUCAUCUUUACAAGAUCCUUUCCCUUUUCCUUUUCACCCCUAUCACCCCAACCCACCUACGCUACAUUACAUUUCCUGCUAUACCACCAAUCUGUAUACAAUUGAAAAACUACAGGCUACUACAACCCAAUGCUUCCUGAGAAUCUAGACAAAUUUGGACAGUGCGAGUUUCAAGUCCUGAUGGUAUUGUGGCAUAUUGGUUCCUGCAUGCAUUUUGCAAAUGAACAAGGCUAAGAGUUAUUUUAUACCUUGCAUUGCUGUAAUUUUUACUUCUCCCCACCAGGGACAUGGGUUCUUGUUGAGAUAUCUUGUUAACCCUUUAUUUUUGAUCAGUUAUUUCUCUUCAAGUUUAUCUGUUGGGGCCUAAUCCUCUUAGCGACGCGUCAUAUUAGAACCCGGGUGUUGUGUUAAAGCUUGGACAACCAAUCAUUUAUUAUCCGAGAAUUUAAUUUGGUUUUAUUAAUCAAUUUAAACCUUUCUAUAGGAAGAGAGUGGCUCUUCACUCCCAUCGGAUUAACAAAAAGUGAGUCUCAUGUUUUCUUAUUUGUUUGACUCAUGUUGGUGUGAUAUUUUGCUAAACAGAUUUUGCAUAUCAUAGCGACGUUUGUCAUUUUGUAUCUAUACAUUUAUGCUAAUUUUUAACUCUCGUGGCAACGCAUGGGUACGUACCUAGUAAAUAUCUGUAAUGUUAGAAUCUUAGUAUUUCCAUCACUUGCCAUUCCUCAAAUAUAAAUAUAUUGCAUCUAUUAUAUGGCUCUUCUGACAAAAGAAGUUUGAAAAUAGAGAGGAAGGAUAAGGACGCAAAGAAAAGAAGUAAAACGAGGAGAAAGCACAAAAGUUCAUCAGAGUCAAGUUCCAGCUCAUCUUCAGAAUCUUCAAGCAGCGACGAUGAGGGUAGGGGUUCAAGGAAGUCCAGAUCACAGUCGAGAUCAAAGAGAACAAGGAAGGAAAAGAAGAGUCGGUCAAGGUCCAAGCACAGAGGCAGUGAAAGCGAGGAGGAAGGCCUGAUUGGUGGGUUUGGAUGUAUCAUUCAACACAGAUUACUUCUGAAGGUUGAGCGAGCCGUUUACCAUGGUGUUCUCAAUAUGAUGCUCAGCUGUUAAGAGGGUUUGGUCAAGUUGUGUGGCUUCCAAAAACUUUGUAAGCAACUGGAUUUCGGCUCUCAUCAAGUGACUCCUCCCCCUCAUGUUGACUUUGCGGACAGAUGUCUCAAUUUUAGUGGUGGAGCUACGAACAACAAUCCGAUGUCCUGAUCGAGAGCGAUGGAGUUAAUGUUUGAACUUGUGUGUUUGAACUUGUGAACUAAAAAUGUGAACUAUGGAUGUAAACUUGUGUGAAUUUGUGAACUUAUGUAUUUGACUUAUGUGAAUUUUGUGAACUUAUAUAUUUGGACUUGUGUGAAUUUGUGAUAUGAACAUAUAUCAAUGUGUUUGAAAUCUGUAUUGUAUGUGAUAUAUUGUGUUGCAUGUGA
RNA transcript from Zea mays, 4771 nucleotides. RefSeq lists it as uncharacterized. The transcript is spliced from 5 exons. The record is from RefSeq and is a predicted model, not a curated record. Lineage: Eukaryota; Viridiplantae; Streptophyta; Magnoliopsida; Poales; Poaceae.